This 252-nucleotide ribosomal RNA is filed under the name uncultured prokaryote. RNAcentral's name for it is "partial 16S rRNA". It matches the Rfam family "Archaeal small subunit ribosomal RNA", at positions 475 to 726 of the family's 1478-position model. The record is from RNAcentral.
ACCGGCAGCUCAAGUGGUGGCCAUUUUUAUUGGGCCUCCAGCCUUCCCCGCCGCUUUGCUCCGUCUCUGGUGAAAUCCCGCAGCUUAACUGUGGGACUUGCUGGAGAUACUAUUAGACUUGAGGUCGGGAGAGGUUAGGGGUACUCCCAGGGUAGGGGUGAAAUCCUAUAAUCCUGGGAGGAGCGGCUGUGGCGUAGCGGCCUAAGUGGAGGGGAGGGGGGGGGGAGGAAAGAAAGAAAGGGGAGAGAAGGG